RNAcentral lists this long non-coding RNA (1006 nucleotides) under Triticum aestivum (bread wheat). Its description in RNAcentral is "long non-coding RNA (TAES_LNC004886)". Lineage: Eukaryota; Viridiplantae; Streptophyta; Magnoliopsida; Poales; Poaceae. The record is from RNAcentral.
GAAAGUUUAGUACCAAUGGUGAUGCUAUUCUUUCAUAAAAUUACAUUUCUGUUGAUUCAUAUCACACUAAGCUCUUUAUGCAAAGAAGAAAUGGAAAACCACAAUAGACCAUUAGUUUUGAUGUUUGCUGUUACAUCUAAGCUUCUGCUGUGAAAUUACUUGUAGGGCCGAGAUGUCUGGUGAACGCAAACAAUUGGAACUUCAUACACGGCUUACUAAAACGGUGGUCGAAAUAAAUGGUGAUUGCCCUGAUCCAACUCCGGAAGAUGAAAAUAAAAAAAAUACUUCCCCAUGAUUGGUACAAUUGUUGUGGCGGCACCAGACUUCUGCUUCGUGGUAGUGAAAAGUUCUUUAAUAGAAAAACGUGGAAUUUACACAAUUAAUCGUGAUGGAAAAAGUAUUAACAUUAGAGCUGAAGACUUUAUUUUAUCAACUGGAACUUUGGCUGGGUUCUAUCUUUAUCACCACCAGUUACCAUAUGAUAUCGAGAAGGUGGAAGCUGUUGUAUUUGGUGAAGAAGUUGAAUUGUUUGAUGUAGUUUAUCUUUGUGACUUAACAUUUGGACUUACCGAGCUGUCCUUUGACCUCACAGAUGGUCAUGUCAUGUAAGUUUCUUUUCAUAAAAAGUUUCAUGUUGUUUUCUCCUAAAAUGUUUUGUGGAUCCUUUUGUGUUUCCAAUUUAUAAAUGUAUUUCUUGGUCCAGGGAUACAGAUGGAGUCAAUUUUGUCCAUAAUUUUGCUCAAAGCUUGCACACUGGCCAAGGUGCACCCGUUUUUUCUGGAAAGGGUAAACUUGUUGGCCUAUGUAUUCUGAACAUACAAGGCCCAUCCAUUGCUCUCACUGUGACCCAAAUAAAACAGAAUCUGAUGAGGAUAUACAAAACUAAGGUAUGUAAUACGAAUAACAUUGUUUACAUUUACCCUUAUUUAUUUCUAAUACAAAUAUAUUUCUCAAUUUCACAUUGUGGUUCUCUUUGUUUGCAGACACUCGAGAAAUUCUUUGAAGA